UCCCUGGUGGCUCAGACAGUAAAGCAUCUGUCUGCAAUGCAGGAGACCCAGGUUUGAUCUCUGGUUGGGAAG
Molecule: transfer RNA, 72 nt
Filed under: Ovis aries (sheep)
Lineage: Eukaryota; Metazoa; Chordata; Mammalia; Artiodactyla; Bovidae
Rfam family: tRNA
About the family: Transfer RNA (tRNA) molecules are approximately 80 nucleotides in length.
Source: Rfam by way of RNAcentral